Molecule: transfer-messenger RNA, 367 nt
Filed under: Domibacillus enclensis
Lineage: Bacteria; Bacillati; Bacillota; Bacilli; Caryophanales; Bacillaceae
Description: Standard tmRNA
Rfam family: transfer-messenger RNA
About the family: Bacterial tmRNA, also known as 10Sa RNA or SsrA, is named for its dual tRNA and mRNA-like properties. Its role is to liberate the mRNA from a stalled ribosome. To accomplish this part of the tmRNA is used as a reading frame that ends in a translation stop signal.
Source: RNAcentral
GGGGACGUUACGGAUUCGACAGGGGUAGUUCGAGCUUAGGCUGCGGGCCAGAGGGUCGGCUCUGUCAAAACGCACUUGCCUAUAAUAACUGGCAAACAACAACCACAACUACAAGCUGCCUAAUUAAAUUUAGGUUAGCCUGUGCUCCCUCCGCUGUUGUCCGUGCAGUCGGGUACGGGGCUCACUCUUAACGGACUACGCUUGAUUCCUCCGCCUGGGGAUGAGAGAAGAGACCAAUCAGGCUGGCCGGUUGAAACGCCUGCUGUACGGCAGUUCAUCCGGCGAGACUUAAGUAGUGCAGCUACGCCCGUAGACGCUUAAGUGCCGUUGCCUUUGGACGCGGGUUCGACUCCCGCCGUCUCCAUAU